UUUGGUUUGUUACGUGUGGUUGGCUGCGGCGUUUGCAACAACUUCCAUGCUUUCAGACCUCUUCAGUUGUGCGGCAAGGCUUGUAUCGCCUUGAGCGUAUUGUGGGUUUUCUGUGUUGGCUACCUAAUCAAUGGUAUCGGUUGGAUUGAUCAAUGUUUCAUUUCGUCUUCCGUCGCAUUCGCGGCGUGAGAUGAACCUUGAUGCGGUCUCUUUGAUCCACCUCGUCGAAGCGCAUGCUUUGGCGUUGUGGCACAUUGAGCAUUGCUUGGUCUCUUGUAUACGGAACAUAUAGUGGGCAUGGAUCUAACGAUUCUCGUUUGCCCUCAUAUUAGCGUAACGCUUCUCUUACACGACUUGCACCACGUUUUAG
Molecule: unclassified non-coding RNA, 370 nt
Filed under: Artemisia cretacea
Lineage: Eukaryota; Viridiplantae; Streptophyta; Magnoliopsida; Asterales; Asteraceae
Description: partial external transcribed spacer
Source: RNAcentral